UGAAGUUAAACUCCCUUUAUUCACAGUGCUG
RNAcentral lists this non-coding RNA (31 nucleotides) under Rattus norvegicus (Norway rat). Lineage: Eukaryota; Metazoa; Chordata; Mammalia; Rodentia; Muridae. The record is from RNAcentral.